AUUGAACGCUGGCGGCAGGCUUAACACAUGCAAGUCGAGCGGGGUGAUGGUGCUUGCACUAUCACUUAGCGGCGGACGGGUGAGUAAUGCUUAGGAAUCUGCCUAUUAGUGGGGGACAACAUCUCGAAAGGGAUGCUAAUACCGCAUACGUCCUACGGGAGAAAGCAGGGGAUCACUUGUGACCUUGCGCUAAUAGAUGAGCCUAAGUCGGAUUAGCUAGUUGGUGGGGUAAAGGCCUACCAAGGCGACGAUCUGUAGCGGGUCUGAGAGGAUGAGCCGCCACACCGGGACUGGGACACGGCCCAGAGUCCUACGGGAGGCAGCAGUGGGGAAUAUUGGACAAUGGGGGGAACCCUGAUCCAGCCAUGCCGCGUGUGUGAAGAAGGCCUUAUGGUUGUAAAGCACUUUAAGCGAGGAGGAGGCUCUUUUGGUUAACACCCAAGAUGAGUGGACGUUACUCGCAGAAUAAGCACCGGCUAACUCUGUGCCAGCCGCCGCCGUAA
This 503-nucleotide ribosomal RNA is filed under the name uncultured bacterium. RNAcentral's name for it is "partial 16S ribosomal RNA". It matches the Rfam family "Bacterial small subunit ribosomal RNA", at positions 30 to 523 of the family's 1533-position model. The record is from RNAcentral.